Molecule: small RNA, 81 nt
Filed under: Xanthomonas floridensis
Lineage: Bacteria; Pseudomonadati; Pseudomonadota; Gammaproteobacteria; Lysobacterales; Lysobacteraceae
Description: sX9 sRNA
Rfam family: Xanthomonas sRNA sX9
Source: RNAcentral
AUGUACCGCUCGUACACUCCGGGUCCUCCGCGCCGUCCGUACCCACCUGACGACCGCUCGCGCCGUCCGCGCUUAUUCGCU